ACGAACGCUGGCGGCGUGCUUAACACAUGCAAGUCGCACGGAAAGGCCUUUUCGGAGGUACUCGAGUGGCGAACGGGUGAGUAACACGUGGGUGAUCUGCCCUGCACUCUGGGAUAAGCCUGGGAAACUGGGUCUAAUACCGGAUAGGACCGCACUUUAGUGUGUGUGGUGGAAAGUUUUUUCGGUGUAGGAUGAGCCCGCGGCCUAUCAGCUUGUUGGUGGGGUAAUGGCCUACCAAGGCGGCGACGGGUAGCCGGACUGAGAGGUUGGUCGGCCACAUUGGGACUGAGAUACGGCCCAGACUCCUACGGGAGGCAGCAGUGGGGAAUAUUGCACAAUGGGCGCAAGCCUGAUGCAGCGACGCCGCGUGGGGGAUGACGGCCUUCGGGUUGUAAACUCCUUUCGCCAGGGACGAAGCGUUUUGUGACGGUACCUGGAGAAGAAGAACCGGCUAACUACGUG
RNAcentral lists this ribosomal RNA (462 nucleotides) under uncultured bacterium. RNAcentral's name for it is "partial 16S ribosomal RNA". It matches the Rfam family "Bacterial small subunit ribosomal RNA", at positions 29 to 507 of the family's 1533-position model. The record is from RNAcentral.